ACUAAAAGUGUAAAAUGCGAGUCUUUAAUUGAGUGUUGACUAGUUUUUUCUGUAUCUUCUUCUAUUUAUAGUGUCAGAGUAGUGGUAGCCUUUUCCUUAAGACCUAGUACAUUUUGUCGAAGAAUCAGAGAUCUCACGAAACUCAUGGCACGGUCUUUACUCCAUGCUCUCCAUUUUGGUAAUCAGCCCAUUUCAUCGAGAUACUUGAGCGUGAGGUCCAUAGAUUUUGGCAUUACUUGAAAUCAUGUCUUUUGUGCCAACGGUCUAAUGUUAACAGCUGACAAGAUUUCAGCAUAUUUAUUUAUUGUGGCCUUUAUUGAGCAUCAGGGUUGGCCCCUUUUGUUUAUAUUGGGCUUGAUGCUUCAGUUACUCAGCCCAACUAGCCCUGUGACCUACGUUGAGCGACGUUUUAUAUUUUAGCCCAAACAAUGCCCCUCGCGUGCCAGUGGUUGAUAACGUAAGCCAUGUGGCACGUUUGAAAAAACUGAAACGUCACUUCAUUUUUGAGCGCCCUUUGUUAAUAUAAACUCAUUUCUUUUUCAUGGUCACUUCUCUUGUCCUUUAUACCAUUUCUUGACCAUCAAGCAUUUACUCUUUUGCAUCCCUCUUACUUUAGCUUUCAAAUGGCUUCCUCCACCUCUGCCGCUUCUUCUAUUGCCGCUCCAUCUUCCACAUCUGCCGAAAGUUUGCCUGAUUCUCUGGUGACUAUUCGAAAUCCCGUUACCCCACUUGGUGGGUUUGUGACGGAGGAUUCUUCAUUCCAUGAAUCGGUGGCUUUUUGGUAAGUUUCUCGCUUCUCGUAUUUAACCCUUUUGUUUUAUUGGAAAAAUAUGCUAACUGUUCUUUAUGUUUAUCCAAUACUUCUCCUUGGAGUUUUCAAAACUCUAAUAAAAGCGACGUUGGGUACUUGACCAUCUCUCCCAACCUGUCUGAAGUCACAGCCCCUACUCAGCCAAACCCAUGGCCACUGACCUCCAUACAUAAUUUGGUUUUGGCCUGGAUGACCUCGCUCUUCCCUGAGUCGUCCUGCAAAAAACUCAAGAACUGGCCCCAGUCUCCUCGUGCUUGGGUUAACUGGGUGAGGUGCUUGAAGCCGGAGUAUGUGCCCUAAUGGAAGGAGAUGGGUCUUUCCGAUCUGAUUGAGUUAUCCCUGGCUGAUGUCGAUGUCCCAAGCAAGCUUCUGAUGGCCCUCUUAAGUUUCUGGGCUCUGGGCUGCAACGCCUUCAUAUUCAAGCUCAGCCUCAUGUCCCUCAUGCUAUGGGAUGUUUUCAUAUUCCUAGGGCUGCCCAUCACCGAGGAUUAGAACUUCUAUGCAAUCCCCGAGAAGCAUGACUGUUAUACCGUUCUCUCAGCUGACUUGGAGAGCAAGAUUAGAAGUACGAGCUCCUACACAAGGAUCAUGGAGCUAUUCUCUGAGAAGCCAAUUGGCGAGCUCGUCACCCCCACAGAGCACUUGGUCUUCAUUUGGAUCCUGUUGAGCCAAUGGAUCCUGGCCCCGGGGGGAGGGAAGCCCAUGCAACUGCACUUGAAGAUUGCUCAGUCCCUUCUCUAUGGCAAUCAAAUAGCCUUGGGGAUGAUGUUUUUGUGCCGCCUCUAUGACAGCCCUUCAAUAACUUCUACGGGCUUGUUUUUUUUCUGAAGUUAUGGACGACGGCCUACUUUCCUCUUCUUCGGCAGGAGCCUUUUCUUGAUGAUUCCCGCGCCAACCACCCCCUCACCUGUCUUCUAGGUAGUCAUCUGCUGAUCGACUCAAAGAACUUUUUCAAGUUCUUUAGCUAGUAGAGCUGGUCCUUAGGGAGGACCUUGAAGGCUUUCAAUAUUUUGGAACGUCACCUCCCCACCUGGUACAAGUAUAUGAUGGACUAGAAGAACAAGCCCGCCAAUCUAAUAAGGGAUGAGGUUUUCCUCUCGGCCACUACUCCCAGAAGAUGUGGCUGCCAUAUACUGGCUCUUCCUCCAAGUCUCUAAGACUCUACUUGGAGUCCUAUCAUCCUCAACUGGUGGCGGGCCAGUUUAGGUUGAGCCAGUGCAUACCUCGGGGCCUAUCCCCCCAAAUCAGUGUGGAGCUGCUGGAUAGGGAGGCUAUUGACCAUAUAGCCAUUCCAUACACCGCUCAAAGGCAGUGUAAGGUGGAGCUUGUAGAUAAAGAUGCCUACCUCCGCUUCAAUAAAUGGUGGCCCCAGUGCUUUAGGCGUAUAAUAAAGAGCCAUACCAUCAUGAUUGGACACAAUCUCACACGUUGAUGAUGUUUUUGAGGGGAAACAUUGAUGCCCCUACUGCUUUUGAGACCUAAAUGGCCCCCUCGCUGAGGAUUAGGGUCCAAGGGAUAGAUCAAGAUAACACCUCCUCUCAAGUCUCGAUCCCCAGGAAGCCUGGGGCUAAGAAGAUCCCCUCAAGUCACCUAAACAAAGGAGAUGGUCCUGACAAGAGGAAGCAGGCUCCCUCUCCUUCACCCGACGCUAAGAGGAGGAAGAAGACAAUACCUCCUCCCCUCGAUCAACCUUCCUCUACUCCUCUCCUAAUUGGUCCUACUCCUUAGAGGGGAAAGUGUAUGCACAAGCACCAACGGAUGAAGAUCCUAUCAGUAGAAUCUAGCAACAACAGGGUAAGUCCUCUUCAUCAUGGGAAGAUCAGCUCCUAGAUCCCCGAGCGGUCACUUCCCCUUGCUUUGCCAUUCCUAAGCCAUUCCCUGUGGAUCCUACUAAAGUUGCUCAGGACAUGGCCCGGGAGGCGAUGGAGCAUGCUGAAGAUUUGGGGGUUGUUAUGUUUGCUGUGACCCUAAGUGGUACUGUCAGUCCAGAAGACCUCAGGGCUGUAGUUGGCCAGGGAGGAGCCUCAUUACAGCCCUGAGCGGUGAGUUGGAGCUGAAGUCCAAGGUCCUGCUUUCACUGAGGGCCUAAGGAUGGUUCCUCCUAUUAGUUUGAUCCCACCCACCAACUCACCAAGCACUCAAGAGGUCAGGGGCUCUGAGAGGUCCCUUGAGAGAUUUUAGGCGGUGACUGUGGAUAACACACUAGUUGCCUUGGCCGCCACUCAAGGCAUUUUAGUACAGAGUCAGAUUGAUUCCUCUACUCUUGGGCCGUGUAGAGAAGGGCCUGUGAUCGGUAGCGUGGUCUGCAUGCACUUUGUUGGAAAUUGUGCCUUAGGGCCAAUCAUUGUACUAUGCACAUUGUUAUUUAAUAAAUUUCUCUUUUGUUGUCAUAACAAUUGCAUGUUCAAUAUGAUAACUGUAGCCCUGGACAAACUAUAGUGAUUG
This is a long non-coding RNA of Prosopis cineraria, 3256 nucleotides long. RefSeq lists it as uncharacterized. Lineage: Eukaryota; Viridiplantae; Streptophyta; Magnoliopsida; Fabales; Fabaceae. The record is from RefSeq and is a predicted model, not a curated record. The transcript has 3 exons.